RNAcentral lists this microRNA (22 nucleotides) under Ophiophagus hannah (king cobra). RNAcentral's name for it is "oha-miR-23a-5p". Its record names the gene oha-miR-23a-5p. Lineage: Eukaryota; Metazoa; Chordata; Lepidosauria; Squamata; Elapidae. RNAcentral also lists the same sequence under 2 other names. The record is from miRBase by way of RNAcentral.
GGGGUUCCUGGUGAUGUGAUUU